AUGGGGUUCUUCUCUGGCAAGAACAGGGGAAAGGCCCCCGUCGGCCCAGCGCGCGCUCCCCUCGCCUCCACCGGCGUCUUCCCGCCGACCACUUUAGCGCAUCAGCGUCCCAGUGCAUCAGGCGAAGUGGCACUAAGAGCACCGCGUCCUCCUCCCCUACCCCGAUGUCACGCUGCCGCAAGACUGGCACUUGGAUCCCGAGAGGAUCCCAGUGCCGGCAGAGCCGCGACCGGCCCGGCGCACGCGGAGGAGGUGCGACGCCGCUGGCAACAGCUUACACCGCAGCAACGCCUCAACCCAGUCUACGCAUCAGACUCUCCCGAGUGGGAGGUCUGGUUCGCGUUGGAGCACGAGGAGCAGUGCCAUCAUGGCGUCCAUGAUGUGGAAGCUGGCAACCCGCGGUCCCUCGUCGUGCACGACGACGACCAGGAGGCGGAGGCCGCCUACCAGGCGGCGCUGGCGGCUGUCCUCCGUGAAAACGAGGAAGAGGAGCGGCGCAAGGAGGAGGAGGAGGAGGCGUACCGGGCGCGGUUGUCGGAGGCCAUGGCGCUCUCCACUGCCGGCGACCGCGUCAUCUCGCCACUGGCCCGACCAUCCCCUGAGCCGGCGCCGAUCCCCAUCAAGCCCGAGUGCUACACAUGGGACGGGAGGAGAUGUACCUGGAGCAAUGACGGCAGCGCAUGCUCGCGGGGGAGCGCCACGAGGGCGGGCGACUCGAGCAGCUGA
This 726-nucleotide ribosomal RNA is filed under the name Triticum aestivum (bread wheat). Its description in RNAcentral is "partial small subunit ribosomal RNA". Lineage: Eukaryota; Viridiplantae; Streptophyta; Magnoliopsida; Poales; Poaceae. The record is from RNAcentral.